GGUAGAAUGGCCGAGUGUUUAGGCGGCGGUUUGUAGCACCGUGUACGAAGGUUUGAGCCCUUCUUCUACUA
This 71-nucleotide transfer RNA is filed under the name Trigonostigma heteromorpha (harlequin rasbora). RNAcentral's name for it is "tRNA-Tyr". It matches the Rfam family "tRNA". From Rfam's summary of the family: Transfer RNA (tRNA) molecules are approximately 80 nucleotides in length. Lineage: Eukaryota; Metazoa; Chordata; Actinopteri; Cypriniformes; Danionidae. The record is from RNAcentral.